RNA transcript from Myiozetetes cayanensis, 3966 nucleotides. It is a transcript of the gene named glycosyltransferase 8 domain containing 2, with no coding region annotated. The transcript is spliced from 11 exons. The record is from RefSeq and is a predicted model, not a curated record. NCBI's taxonomy places the organism in Eukaryota, Metazoa, Chordata, Aves, Passeriformes, Tyrannidae.
AGCGGGAGCCUUGCGGACGCGCUCCCGGCCUGCAGCGCACCCGGGGCACCGCGGGUGUGGCGUGUGCUCUUCAGCCCCGAGCGCCCGGCUCUUCCUCUGAGUCCCCAGAAACGUGUAGCAGAUUCAGGUUUUUUUUUUUUUUUUUUAACUGGCGACGUAAGGCUGCUGCUUGCGAGGUGUUCAUGUGAGAAAAGGGAUGAGUUGCUGUUUCAGCGCUGAGGGUUGAGAUUAGAAACCAAGGUUUCGGUUCUGCAGUUGACGGCGGGCGAUGUGAGCGAAUCCGAAGGUCUCGUUCUGCAGCAGAGAAGCUGCUCUUUCCUGUGAGAGCAGGGUGUUGUGUGAGAAUAUAAACGUGUGAGGCUGAGGGAAAUCCAAAGAAGGUGUAUCUGGUACAAAAAGCCUCCUUAUCGAGCUCUACACAGUAAAUUGCCAUGCCGAGAUGUAUAAUUGAGCGCUGUCAGUAUUCUCUAACAUACCACGUAUAGUCUUAAAACUGUGCCAGGGGAGGUUUAGGCUGGACAUUAGGAGGAAUUUCUUCACAGAAAGGGUGAUUCGAGGUUAGAAUGGGCUGCCCAGGGGAGUGGUGGAGUCAUGGUCCCUGGAGGUGGCAGUGGGUGCCAUGGUCUAGUCGACACGGUGGUGUUCGGAUACGGGUUGGACUCGAUGAUCUCAGAGUCUUUUCCAACCUAAUUGCUUCUGUGAUUCUGUGAAGGUGUUACUGUGUUGCCAGUAAUUCAGGGGUUGCUGUCAGGUGAAGGAUCUGGUCCCAGUUCUGCAGGCUCGUGAUUCUGUGCUGCUUGGAUCUGUUCAGAUCCACAUAGAAAUGGAAGGGAGGUGAAAAAACACAGGUGGAUUUUGAAAAACAUAAGCUUGAUACAGCUUAAUUACCAGUGUAUGGAAAAAGUACUAAUAGUUGUGGCCAUCUGCACAAAGCACAUAACUGUAUGUUUAACUCUUCAUUUAUUUUUCCUUCAAGGAGCUCUGCAAAAGAUGGAUUUCCAUACAAAAUCAGUCACAGAUAAUACAGUUUGGGCAUGUUUGAGGCAUACAGUUGAAACCCCAUAUUUUCAGUUCCUGCAAAUGGAACAGCAAUCUUUAUAUAAAACAUGUAAGAUUUUUAAAACCUUCACAGAGUACUCUUCGUAAGUUUUGCACUGCCUCAUGCUAAAAAUAUGAACAAUAGUGUUGAAGAUGAUUAUUAUUAUUCCUUUUAGCAUUCAUGAAAAUCUUGUGACAAAACAACAUUUUAUCAUAUAGAAGGGUCAUUCCUAGAAGGAAGGGAGAGAAUGUGAAUAAAAGAAGUGCUGUGGAAAUAAAAGAGCAAAAGCAUUCCAGGAGAGCUUAGAAGGCAGGAUAUCAACAUGUGCUGGUAACCUUGAUCUAAGAUACUUUUGACUCUAAACCAAACCUGAGGAUUAAAUGCUCAAAGAUUUGGAAAUGAGAUGAUUCAAGUCGAAAUGCAUGUUCAGAGUUGAAUUUUGCAGAUUUCCCUUAGCUCUUGACUUGCAAGAACUCUGCCAACAGACAUUGGAAAAACUUUGGCUUUCAGUUUGACUUUGGCAUGUUGUAUUUUGGCUCUUGCACACUGGUUAUCUGUUCACAUUUACAAUAAAUAAUGACUAGAAACCUAACUUGCAGCUAGACUGUUGGAAGUAACUUCUGGAAGGGUUUGCUUCCUUCUCUUUCCCCCACCCCUUUAAGACUUUUUGUCUUAUGGGAUUUGUUUGCAAUCUGCUAGCUGAAGCUCUGAGGCAAGUUUGCCAAAUCUGGGGCUGCAUCAUCGUUCUGCACAUCUGGAAGUGGUUUAUGGGCUCUCAUUCCUCCAGUGCAGCGUCUGGACUCUGUGCUAUUCCUCAGCAGCAGAGAAAGAAAAGAAAACCAGCACAACUCCAAAGUAAACUUUGAAGAGUCUGAAAAAGGAAUUGAAUCGUAAAACUGUUUCUGUGCCCUGCAAGGCCCUUGUGCGGGUGACUUCAAAGGAGGAUGGUGGUCAAGGAGGCUUUGGCAAGAGAGCUCACAGCUGUGGGCUAUCUAGGAUCCAAGUAAAUAGCUCCUCAGCGCUUCAGGAGAGAGGAGUCCCGAAUACUGUGCUGCUUUGAAGAGAUCACAGUUCUCAUCCAACUGGACACAUGGCUCUUUUAAAGAAAAUUAACCAGAUCUUACUGUUACUUCUUGUCUUAACUGUGUGUGCCAUUCUGUAUAACAAAGUUCACCAAGUGCCAUCGGCAUUAAAAAAUGAAACAGUUGAUUUGGAGAGUCCUGAGGAAACAGAAGAAGAAAUCCCAGUGGUGAUCUGCGCUGCUGCGGGCAGGAUGGGUGCAACUGUAGCAGCCAUCAGUAGCAUCCACAGCAACACAGAGGCCAGUGUUUUGUUCUACAUAGUUGGGCUGAAGACAACCAUCCCACAUAUUCGAAAAUGGAUCGAAAAUUCUAAACUGAAAGAAAUAAAAUUUAAGGUUGUAGAAUUCAACCCUAUGGUACUAAAAGGAAAAAUCAGACAAGAUGCAUCACGUCCUGAGCUACUGCAGCCUCUGAACUUCGUUCGAUUUUAUCUUCCUUUGCUUAUCCAGAAACAUGAGAAAGUAAUAUAUUUGGAUGAUGAUGUUAUUGUUCAAGGUGACAUCCAGGAGCUCUAUGAUACUAAGUUGGCUCCUGGACAUGCUGCAGCUUUUUCAGAUGAUUGUGAUCUGCCUUCUACACAUGAAAUGAUUAGAAGUGUAGGGAUGCAGAACACGUACAUGGGAUUCCUGGACUAUAGAAAGCAAGCCAUCAGAGACCUUGGCAUCAGCCCCAGCACCUGCUCCUUUAAUCCUGGAGUAAUUGUUGCUAACAUGACUGAAUGGAAACAUCAGCGGAUUACGAAGCAGUUGGAAAAGUGGAUGCAAAGAAAUGUAGAGGAAAACCUCUACAGCAGCACCCUUGGGGGAGGUGUGGCAACCUCUCCAAUGCUGAUUGUGUUUCAUGGAAAGUAUUCCUCUAUUAAUCCUAUGUGGCACAUAAGGCAUCUUGGUUGGAGUCCUGAUGCCCGUUACUCAGAGCAAUUUCUUCAAGAAGCUAAACUACUUCACUGGAAUGGGAGAUACAAACCUUGGGACUAUCCCAGUGUCCACACUGAUCUCUGGGAAAACUGGUUUAUUCCUGACCCUUCAGGGAAGUUCAAAUUAACUCGUCCUGACAGCUGAUACUGAAACAACUUAAAUACUGCAAAAUGUAGUGUAUUGGAUGCAUGUAAUAGUUUGAGAUGCAGCAUAUGAGUCAUAUGAUUAACUGAUUUUAGAAAAUGAAAUAUUUGUUGAAUAUAUGAAUAACUGACCCUCACUUUUGUGUGCUUAGGGCUGGAGAGGGAGGCUGGAGUGACCAUUACACAGUUCAGAUUAUCCUGACUUUCAUGUAAGGUACAAUACUUGACAGGAGUACUUAUGGGAUUUAAAUCACUCUUGGAUGGUUAAAAGCAAAAUCCCUCUCUGAAACCAAAACAAAAGAAAAUCAGGAGAAAAACAAACCCCAAACCAGUUUAAUUAAAAUACCAUAAAUUUUAAAAAAGUUCUGCAAAUUCUAAGAGAAGAAAGGAAAACAAAAACGUACAAAAAUGGUUUCCAGGUCCCGGAUAAUGAUGUCCUUUGUAAGCUGCCAUCAGGCCAGGGUUUAUGCCAAUCUACAAAGAUAUCAGUCCAUUUGAACAAUGAGAACAUGGCUUGCUAGUCAGCAAUUUGAUCAAGUUACAGUAAGGAUGCUUGAUUCAAUUCUAAGGUACUGUCAACAAACAAAAUUGUGUUAAUGGCACCUUCCAUUAUUAUCUAAAAAACCUGUCAAUUUUAGAGCAGUGCCUCAUUUAGCUGUGCAAUGUCAAAAGGGCAGCUCACAGAGUGCAGAGCUUCCAGUAAACCAAGUAUCAAGUAACAGUCUCUCAUGACUCUGUAUCAUACCUAAACCUUAGAUUUCUCAGAAAUUAGGACUGUGUUGUUA